GAUGAAGAACGCAGCGAAAUGCGAUAAGUAAUGUGAAUUGCAGAAUUCCGUGAAUCAUCGAAUCUUUGAACGCACAUUGCGCCCCCUGGCAUUCCGGGGGGCACGCCUGUCCGAGCGUCAUUUCUGCCCUCCAGCCCGGCUGGGUGUUGGGCGCUGUCCCCCCGGGGACACGCCCCAAAGGCAGUGGCGGCGCCGCGUCGGGUCCUCGAGCGUAUGGGGCUUUGUCACCCGCUCGGGACGGACUCGUCGGCGCUGGUCUUCCUCCAGGCGACCCUUCGGGGCUCGUCUUCCUUCGGUUGACCUCGGAUCAGGUAGGGUUACCCGCUGAACUUAAGCAUAUCAAUAAGCGGAGGA
This 354-nucleotide unclassified non-coding RNA is filed under the name soil metagenome. Its description in RNAcentral is "partial contains 5.8S ribosomal RNA, internal transcribed spacer 2, and large subunit ribosomal RNA". The stretch from base 1 to 120 matches the Rfam family "5.8S ribosomal RNA", at positions 35 to 154 of the family's 154-position model. The record is from RNAcentral.